GACGAACGCUGGCGGCGUGCCUAAUACAUGCAAGUAGAACGCUGAAGGUGGAGCUUACUUCUCUGGAUGAGUUGCGAACGGGUGAGUAACGCGUAGGUAACCUGCCUGGUAGCGGGGGAUAACUAUUGGAAACGAUAGCUAAUACCGCAUAAGAGUAGAUGUUGCAUGACAUUUACUUAAAAGGUGCAAUUGCACCACUACCAGAUGGACCUGCGUUGUAUUAGCUAGUUGGUGGGGUAACGGCUUACCAAGGCGACGAUACAUAGCCGACCUGAGAGGGUGAUCGGCAACACUGGGACUGAGACACGGCCCAGACUCCUACGGGAGGCAGCAGUAGGGAAUCUUCGGCAAUGGACGGAAGUCUGACCGAGCAACGCCGCGUGAGUGAAGAAGGUUUUCGGAUCGUAAAGCUCUGUUGUAAGAGAAGAACGAGUGUGAGAGUGGAAAGUUCACACUGUGACGGUAUCUUACCAGAAAGGGACGGCUAACUACGUGCCAGCAGCCGCCGUAA
Molecule: ribosomal RNA, 511 nt
Filed under: uncultured bacterium
Lineage: Bacteria
Description: partial 16S ribosomal RNA
Rfam family: Bacterial small subunit ribosomal RNA
Source: RNAcentral